RNAcentral lists this ribozyme (70 nucleotides) under unclassified sequences. RNAcentral's name for it is "HDV ribozyme from F. prausnitzii". It matches the Rfam family "HDV ribozyme from F. prausnitzii". The record is from RNAcentral.
GUCAUCCGAAGCAGCUACCUCUUCGUGGUGGAUGACAGGCAACGGUCAGAGAGACCGGCAGAAUGCUGUG